Non-coding RNA from Cricetulus griseus (Chinese hamster), 631 nucleotides. The record is from RefSeq and is a predicted model, not a curated record. NCBI's taxonomy places the organism in Eukaryota, Metazoa, Chordata, Mammalia, Rodentia, Cricetidae.
AUGCUCCUCAGACAAGUCGAGCAGCAUCUUAGCAGCCCUAACGACCUCGCCCUGCAGCGCUGGCCCCGCCCUCACCACUUCCUGACUCUGUGCAGGCAAAAAGAAACUCCGGCGCCGCUGCACUGCCUAUGCUUUGGGUUCCGGUCUCUGGCGGUCCCACGAGCACUAAACAGCAUACCUCACACCUAAGAGCGGAGCUCACACCAUAGAAAUGGAGAGGGCAGUAGGACGCCGCACAGCAGCCCAGAAAGACUAAACAGAUCCUGGAAAAGCUACGUGGAAAGUGGGCCGAAACAGAUGGCUUGAAAUUAAAGAGAAAAAUAUUGAGAAAUGAGAACCAGAAUGCAGUUUGCCUGAAACCUGCCUCAGUCAAUGUGCCUUUGCACGUUUAAAGAGAAAACAUUACCUUGCCACCGCUAAGCAGUAGAUGGCAUUCUCCCUUGGAGUCCUCCCACUGUGCUCUGAGAAAGAUGUGAAGAAGGACCUCAGCAAGCAGUCAGCUCCAGCAGGCGCAGUUUUAUUUCGCUGGUUUUCUUUUUGGUGGCUUUGUAGUUCUGAGGACAUGUUUGGUACUAAGGAUGGGAAUGUGAUUUGUUUUCUCGUGUCCCUUUGUGAAAUUACUGAAGAAUCC